AUCCCGUCUGGACUUCGGCUUUCUGAGCCGCUUGUUGGUGCGACUACCAAUAAUGAAGCGGGCCGGAUUCAAGGCCUGUCUGGAAGUUGACACCUGGCACACAUAAACCGGGCCCGAGUGAGCUGCUCUGGUUGGAACAGAUGAGAUGGCACAAUCCAACCCUGACAGCUGUUCGGGAAUCAGUUUCCUCUUCAACCACAGGGCUGGAAGACCAGCGUCCUAAAACAUAAAAACCGUUCCCGAACCAGCUACUGAUCCGGAAGUGGAGCGCUGGCACACGUUUCAAUUGUAAUAAAAUAAAUAAAUUAAAACAAAAAUUAUAUAAAAUUACAAUAUAAUAAAGUAGACACAUUAUUCUGAUAAUGAUAACAACAAAGGAGAAUUUAUUUUGAAUAUUAAUUUUAAAAUAUAAAGACAAUAGAAAAAGAAAUAUUGACCAUCAUCAUCAUCUGAUCUCCCCCUGCUACUCUUCCUCCUUUUGCUGUGUGCUACUGACACGAUUUUCCUGUUCACGUUGGAGGAAGUGAUGAGGGAACUCCGCACAAGCCCACAGCACAGAACAGCAUGCGGUGCAUCAGCAGCAGAUCAGUUAGGCCUGGGUGGAGUUAGGUUCUGCACUAUGAAAUAAAUAUGAAGGCUAAUAAAUAUGUUUGAUAUAGCACUGUGACAUCUGAGGAAAAUGACAGCAUAUCUAAAUAAUCAUAUUAAACCACUUGCGUUUUUUCUGGAAUAAUAAUCAAGGGUUAAAAGUGAUGUCAGCCUGGUAUAAAGGGUGUGAGGAUGACAUCAUGGUUUGGUUUCAUCUGGAGAAGCAGUGGAUUCUCUCAUGAUUGUCUCUUGUGAUUGUCUCUUGUUUGAUCACAAUGGAGUCAGCAUGUGUAGAUAUGCGUUUGUGAACAUAUUAUAAGAAGUGUCAGAUGACAGAACCUUCAUACAUUAUUAACAAAAUGUACUUGUUUGGAAACAAAAAGCUGAUUUAGUUUAGCUUCCAUGGUUCCUUUAUGUUUUAAGACAUGGAGUUUAUAUUUAACACAUAGCCUACAUGGAGAGACAGUAGCUGGUAUUUUACAGGAUUAGACAGAAAACAAUCAAAUCAAGGGAGGGCAGUCUCAGAAAUGUGCUUCCGUCGUUUCUUUGUGGGUGUUGACCAGUGUUGUUACUAACAGCAUGGAAAGUUCAGCCAGCGUAACAGCGGAAAGCAGGAGCCAAUAUAGGGCCCCUGUGUGAUGUCUUUACUUCCAUUUGGAGGCUGGAGGGUGCCAAAGCUUGAGUGGCAAAAACAGAGGUGACUGUUUUUAGAACAGGUGGGGGAUUCGUGGUAAGCUGGAUACUGUGCAUUGAACUGG
Monopterus albus (swamp eel) is the source of this 1346-nucleotide long non-coding RNA. RefSeq lists it as uncharacterized. The record is from RefSeq and is a predicted model, not a curated record. NCBI's taxonomy places the organism in Eukaryota, Metazoa, Chordata, Actinopteri, Synbranchiformes, Synbranchidae. The transcript has 3 exons.